UAGGGAAUCUUCCACAAUGGACGAAAGUCUGAUGGAGCACGCCGCGUGAGUGAAGAAGGGUUUCGGCUCGUAAAGCUCUGUUGGUAGUGAAGAAAGAUAGAGGUAGUAACUGGCCUUUAUUUGACGGUAAUUACUUAGAAAGUCACGGCUAACCACGUGCC
RNAcentral lists this ribosomal RNA (161 nucleotides) under uncultured bacterium. Its description in RNAcentral is "partial 16S ribosomal RNA". It matches the Rfam family "Bacterial small subunit ribosomal RNA", at positions 355 to 509 of the family's 1533-position model. The record is from RNAcentral.